Molecule: ribosomal RNA, 901 nt
Filed under: uncultured bacterium
Lineage: Bacteria
Description: bacterial SSU rRNA
Rfam family: Bacterial small subunit ribosomal RNA
Source: RNAcentral
GUCGGAGCGGCGCAAGGGUGCGUAACACGUGGGUAAUCUGCCAUGAAGUUCGGGAUAACUUGCUGAAAGGCGAGCUAAUACCGGAUGUGACAACCGAGAGGCAUCUUUUGGUUGUUAAAGUUGGGGACCGUAAGGCCUGACGCUUCUUGAUGAACCCACGGCCUAUCAGCUAGUUGGUGAGGUAACGGCCCACCAAGGCUAAGACGGGUAGCUGGUCUGAGAGGACGACCAGCCACACUGGAACUGAGACACGGUCCAGACACCUACGGGUGGCAGCAGUCGAGAAUUUUUCACAAUGGGCGCAAGCCUGAUGGAGCGACGCCGCGUGGGGGAUGAAUGGCUUCGGCCCGUAAACCCCUGUCAUUUGCGAUCAAACCUCAUUAUUUAAAAGAUGAUGAGCUGAUAGUAGCGAAAGAGGAAGGGACGGCUAACUCUGUGCCAGCAGCCGCGGUAAUACAGAGGUCCCAAGCGUUGUUCGGAUUCACUGGGCGUAAAGGGUGCGUAGGUGGUGAGGUAAGUCGGAUGUGAAAGCUCGGAGCUCAACUCCGAAAUGGCAUUGGAAACUACCUUGCUCGAGGGUUGGAGGGGGGACUGGAAUACUUGGUGUAGCAGUGAAAUGCGUAGAUAUCAAGUGGAACACCAGUGGCGAAGGCGAGUCCCUGGACAACUCCUGACACUGAGGCACGAAAGCUAGGGGAGCAAACAGGAUUAGAUACCCUGGUAGUCCUAGCCGUAAACGGUGCACGUUUGCUGUAAAAGGAAUCGACCCCUUUUGUGGCGGAGCCAACGCGUUAAACGUGCCGCCUGGGAAGUACGGUCGCAAGAUUAAAACUCAAAGAAAUUGACGGGGGCCUGCACAAGCGGUGGAGUAUGUGGUUCAAUUCGAUGCAACGCGAAGAAC